UUUCUGGAUAUAAAAAGAAGACAUCUUUUUGGAAAUUAGAAAAUGAAGAGAUAUAGAGACAGGAUAAGAUGUGAGCAUGUACUGGUGCAGCACACUCUGCUGUGACUGGUUAGACAAAUAUAUUGAGGAUACAUCCAACUAAUUGUGCUUUGCCAAAGAUCACACAGGUGCAGGACAGGAAAGAGAGAAAAAACACAAAGAUCGAACUCAUAUGACCACUGACUUGAUUUUUAAAGAGACAAUGUCUGAGAUUUUGCCUGAAGGAAGAGGCUGUGAUUUUAUAGACUUGACAUAUAACUUAUGAAAAGCAUCUUACCUGACAUUAACAAGGGUUUCUGGUUUAAAAUUUAAUUUAAUGAAAAUAUCUUUAAAAAUUGAAAUGGGG
Long non-coding RNA from Lingula anatina, 385 nucleotides. Lineage: Eukaryota; Metazoa; Brachiopoda; Lingulata; Lingulida; Lingulidae. The record is from RefSeq and is a predicted model, not a curated record.